GCGAAGAGCAACUACCACCACCCCUCCCUCCAGAAUCCUCUAACACCAUGGAUCUAGCUUUGCUACCUUUCCCAACUACUAAGGAUGGAAUACCUAAUUUAUCCACCCCUAAUGAAAAAUCCACAAUUCUGAAUAAACCUCUUAAUUUCAUGUCUAUCAUAGGGAAUUCAACUUCUACUACGUCAAAGAGAAAAAUGAAGUUGAACUACAGAGG
RNAcentral lists this long non-coding RNA (214 nucleotides) under Capsicum annuum. RNAcentral describes it as "long non-coding RNA (CANN_LNC006453)". Lineage: Eukaryota; Viridiplantae; Streptophyta; Magnoliopsida; Solanales; Solanaceae. The record is from RNAcentral.